RNAcentral lists this ribosomal RNA (414 nucleotides) under uncultured bacterium. Its description in RNAcentral is "bacterial SSU rRNA". It matches the Rfam family "Bacterial small subunit ribosomal RNA", at positions 355 to 766 of the family's 1533-position model. The record is from RNAcentral.
UGAGGAAUAUUGGGCAAUGCCCGCAAGGGUGACCCAGCAACGCCGCGUGGAGGAUGAAUGUCGUAAGAUUGUAAACUCCUGUUAGAGGGGAAGAAUAGUACCGGUUGGACCGGUAUAUGACUGUACCCUCAGAGAAAGCCCCGGCUAACUACGUGCCAGCAGCCGCGGUAAUACGUAGGGGGCAAGCGUUGUCCGGAUUUACUGGGUGUAAAGGGCGCGCAGGCGGGAUAAAAAGUCAGUGGUGAAAUCCUACAGCUUAACUGUAGAACUGCCUUUGAUACUUUUAGUCUUGAGUUCGGGAGAGAGAGACGGAAUUCCAGGUGUAGUGGUGAAAUACGUAGAUAUCUGGAAGAACACCAGUUGCGUAGGCGGUCUCUUGGUCCGACACUGACGCUGAGGCGCGAAAGCGUGGGG